AUGGGGACGCGGCUGUCACCGCAUCUAGAGACGGGGGGCGCGGGGUCAGCUCUCAGGAUGCGGGAGGACGGUGAGGCCUGGGCCCCGGCAGGCGGGGGAGCCCCGAAGCACGGCUCCCCGUGUGUAACCGGCGCCCCGAAAGCCGCCCCCACGACUGCGCUUGGAAGCCCAGCUAGGAACUCGAGCUCGGCGAGGGAAAGAGGCCAUGCCGGCCGCUGGGCUCCCGCUCGGCCGCGGAAGGUCAGCUUCCUGCAGGUUGAGCUUCCGCUUCAAGCCCGAGACCGCGUUUUCUUUCUGAGCGAAACCUCCGGCGACCGGAGGCUCCGGGUGAAGAGCCCGGCGGCCGCGCCAGCCUUGCCGGAGGAGCCGCGAACACCCCGGGCGAGUCCGCGCACCUGUCCGCUCCCGGCCCUGCUCCCGCUCGACCGCGCGCUGCGCACCAGACUCGGCCCGAGGAGCUCCGGCCACAGACGUGCUUCAGAGAAACUCGGAUCCUGACCCUACGAUGUCCACUCUGCCUGCACAGUGUCUGCCUCCUGUUUGGAUCGGAACCAUGGCGUCCAAGGCAAAGGCGCAAUGGGAUAAAGCCCCAGACCCCAGCGUCUGGUGAGGAGGAGCCUGGCAGGUGGCCAGGAUCAUCUCUGUGGUGUGAGCACUGAACACAGAUGUUGGCUCCUGACGACUGCUGGGCGCCCCUGCCCCUGGCCUCCAGAACAGAAUCCAGGCCGUUCCAGGUCCUUUCGGGGCUGAAGUUCAUCCAGAGAAAACCAAUUCCCUUCUUGACUUAGGUCUUCCUCUUUCUGAAUGUCAACACUGUCUCGGGUUGUAUUCAUGUUUUGGGUAGAAACUAAUCUCUUAGCUAAUGAGGUGAGUAAGGGUAACCGCAUACAAAGAAACCUCACUUACAGCUGAGUGCUAACUACAUUUUAAACCACCUUAACCCCAAAUCCAGGUAUGAUAGCAGAAAAGCUAGAAAUAAAUUAUUUUCGUGUCUGUCUAAUAAAUCA
Long non-coding RNA from Bos indicus x Bos taurus (hybrid cattle), 1007 nucleotides. The record is from Ensembl. NCBI's taxonomy places the organism in Eukaryota, Metazoa, Chordata, Mammalia, Artiodactyla, Bovidae.